UGCUAGUUGUGCGGGUUUAGGCCCGCAGCGGAAAGCUCAGUAACACGUGGCCAAACUACCCUGUGGAUGGGAACAAUCUCGGGAAACUGAGGCUAAUUCCCAAUAACGCUCCACCCCUGGAACGGGCGGAGCUGGAAACGCUACGGCGCCACAGGAUGUGGCUGCGGUCGAUUAGGUAGACGGUGGGGUAACGGCCCACCGUGCCAAUAAUCGGUACGGGUUGUGAGAGCAAGAGCCCGGAGACGGAAUCUGAGACAAGAUUCCGGGCCCUACGGGGCGCAGCAGGCGCGAAACCUUUACACUGUACGCAAGUGCGAUAAGGGGACUCCGAGUGUGAAGGCAUAGAGCCUUCACUUUUGUACACCGUAAGGUGGUGUACGAAUAAGGGCUGGGCAAGACCGGUGCCAGCCGCCGCGGUAAUACCGGCAGCCCGAGUGAUGGCCGAUAUUAUUGGGCCUAAAGCGUCCGUAGCUGGCCGGACAAGUCCGUUGGGAAAUCUGUUCGCUUAACGAGCAGGCGUCCAGCGGAAACUGUUCGGCUUGGGACCGGAAGACCUGAGGGGUACGUCCGGGGUAGGAGUGAAAUCCUGUAAUCCUGGACGGACCACCGGUGGCGAAAGCGCCUCAGGAGGACGGAUCCGACAGUGAGGGACGAAAGCUAGGGUCUCGAACCGGAUUAGAUACCCGGGUAGUCCUAGCUGUAAACGAUGCCCGCUAGGUGUGGCGCAGGCUACGAGCCUGCGCUGUGCCG
RNAcentral lists this ribosomal RNA (750 nucleotides) under Halobacterium noricense. RNAcentral's name for it is "bacterial SSU rRNA". It matches the Rfam family "Archaeal small subunit ribosomal RNA", at positions 52 to 803 of the family's 1478-position model. Lineage: Archaea; Methanobacteriati; Methanobacteriota; Halobacteria; Halobacteriales; Halobacteriaceae. The record is from RNAcentral.